Molecule: ribosomal RNA, 1522 nt
Filed under: metagenome
Description: bacterial SSU rRNA
Rfam family: Bacterial small subunit ribosomal RNA
Source: RNAcentral
AGAGUUUGAUCAUGGCUCAGAUUGAACGCUGGCGGCAGGCCUAACACAUGCAAGUCGAACGGUAACAGGAAACAGCUUGCUGUUUCGCUGACGAGUGGCGGACGGGUGAGUAAUGUCUGGGAAACUGCCUGAUGGAGGGGGAUAACUACUGGAAACGGCAGCUAAUACCGCAUAACGUCGCAAGACCAAAGAGGGGGACCUUCGGGCCUCUUGCCAUCAGAUGUGCCCAGAUGGGAUUAGCUAGUAGGUGGGGUAACGGCUCACCUAGGCGACGAUCCCUAGCUGGUCUGAGAGGAUGACCAGCCACACUGGAACUGAGACACGGUCCAGACUCCUACGGGAGGCAGCAGUGGGGAAUAUUGCACAAUGGGCGCAAGCCUGAUGCAGCCAUGCCGCGUGUAUGAAGAAGGCCUUCGGGUUGUAAAGUACUUUCAGCGGGGAGGAAGGGAGUAAAGUUAAUACCUUUGCUCAUUGACGUUACCCGCAGAAGAAGCACCGGCUAACUCCGUGCCAGCAGCCGCGGUAAUACGGAGGGUGCAAGCGUUAAUCGGAAUUACUGGGCGUAAAGCGCACGCAGGCGGUUUGUUAAGUCAGAUGUGAAAUCCCCGGGCUCAACCUGGGAACUGCAUCUGAUACUGGCAAGCUUGAGUCUCGUAGAGGGGGGUAGAAUUCCAGGUGUAGCGGUGAAAUGCGUAGAGAUCUGGAGGAAUACCGGUGGCGAAGGCGGCCCCCUGGACGAAGACUGACGCUCAGGUGCGAAAGCGUGGGGAGCAAACAGGAUUAGAUACCCUGGUAGUCCACGCCGUAAACGAUGUCGACUUGGAGGUUGUGCCCUUGAGGCGUGGCUUCCGGAGCUAACGCGUUAAGUCGACCGCCUGGGGAGUACGGCCGCAAGGUUAAAACUCAAAUGAAUUGACGGGGGCCCGCACAAGCGGUGGAGCAUGUGGUUUAAUUCGAUGCAACGCGAAGAACCUUACCUGGUCUUGACAUCCACGGAGGUUUUCAGAGAUGAGAAUGUGCCUUCGGGAACCGUGAGACAGGUGCUGCAUGGCUGUCGUCAGCUCGUGUUGUGAAAUGUUGGGUUAAGUCCCGCAACGAGCGCAACCCUUAUCCUUUGUUGCCAGCGGUCCGGCCGGGAACUCAAAGGAGACUGCCAGUGAUAAACUGGAGGAAGGUGGGGAUGACGUCAAGUCAUCAUGCCCCUUACGACCAGGGCUACACACGUGCUACAAUGGCGCAUACAAAGAGAAGCGACCUCGCGAGAGCAAGCGGACCUCAUAAAGUGCGUCGUAGUCCGGAUUGGAGUCUGCAACUCGACUCCAUGAAGUCGGAAUCGCUAGUAAUCGUGGAUCAGAAUGCCACGGUGAAUACGUUCCCGGGCCUUGUACACACCGCCCGUCACACCAUGGGAGUGGGUUGCAAAAGAAGUAGGUAGCUUAACCUUCGGGAGGGCGCUUACCACUUUGUGAUUCAUGACUGGGGUGAAGUCGUAACAAGGUAACCGUAGGGGAACCUGCGGUUG